GAGACCUUGGAGCUCGCAGCAGGAGCAGGAGUUGUUCUUUUUGACUGUAUAUCGAGGGAAUUCCUACCGUCCUUCAUGCUGUUAUUCUUGAGAGAGAACGUGUUGUUACUUACUGUCUGCCACCAUCGUUAUGCCACCGACUCAGUUAUACAGCGUGCCAUCUAAAUAGCUGCUGUCCCUAAGGAAAUAUUUUUUAUCACAAUAUAUCUUUGGUUUUGGGUCUUACAUCCUCAGAAGUCUCAAAGUGUUUCAUGAAGAAUGGUCUAGGAAUGGAAAUAAAGGAGCAUCACGACCUGCUAGGAGCACGGGAAAAGUAGUGGUCAAUAAGGAAUGUUUUUCUCACAGAUGGAAAAUAGUUGGAAGUGUGGGGUUCACACCCCACUCUUUUUAAGAGUGCCUGGUUAUUAAUAAUGUCCAUGUGUAGACAUAAGCCUCUAAUGUUAUUCCACUGAGUAGAGCCAGG
RNAcentral lists this long non-coding RNA (463 nucleotides) under Anas platyrhynchos platyrhynchos (common mallard). RNAcentral describes it as "lncRNA (ENSAPLG00000020608.1)". Lineage: Eukaryota; Metazoa; Chordata; Aves; Anseriformes; Anatidae. The record is from RNAcentral.